CCUGCAGGAAAGUGAAGCCUCCGUUUGACACUUGCACAAAUGAUGCACGGUUGCAACGCGCCGACCGCACUUCGAUGGAUGAAUGAAAAAAA
Molecule: long non-coding RNA, 92 nt
Organism: Culex quinquefasciatus (southern house mosquito)
Lineage: Eukaryota; Metazoa; Arthropoda; Insecta; Diptera; Culicidae
Exons: 2
Source: RefSeq, a predicted model, not a curated record